GCAGAGAGGAGAGCAGGGAAGAGGCGGAGACUGGGACUCUGCAGGACGACUGAUGAGCACAGCUGGCAAUGAGGCCCCCAUCUGAUUCUGGAGUCAGGGGCUGAAAGCUGGGCAUACAGGACUAUUCAAGACAAGUGCUGGACGUGGUGGCUCAUGCCUAUAAACCCAGCACUUUGGGAGACCAAGGCAGGAAGAUGGCUUGAACCCUGGAGUUAGAGACCAGCUUGAGCAACAUAUCAAGAACCCAUCUCUACAAAAAGUUUUCUAAAAAAUUAGCCAGGCAUGGUGGUGUGAUCCUGUAGUCCCAGAUACUCGGGAGGAUGAAGUGAGAGGAUCACUUGAGCCCGAGAGGUUGAGGCUGUAGUGAGCCAUGAUCGUACUACUGCACUCCAGCCUAGGCAACAGAGCAAGACCGUGUCUCAAAAAAUAAAAUAAAGAGACAGGGUCUUGCUUUAUUGCUCAGGCUGGAGUGCAGUGGUAUGGUCACGGAUCAGUGCAGCCUCGAACACCCGGGCUCGAGAUCCUCCUGCCUUGGCCUCCCAAAAUGCUGGGAUUACAAGCAUGAGCCCUGUGCCUGGCCAAGAAACAUCUUUGAUGCCUACUGUGUGGCAGGCACCAUGCUAGACAUAGGAGGGAUACUGAGAUGGGUGAGAUACAGGAUAUCCUUGCUCUCAAGGAGCUUUGGUGCAGUGGGGAGCUCAGAUACACACAGAAGAGAGGUGAAAAGGAGGCCAAGGCCGGGCGCAGUGGCUCAUGUCUGUAAUCUCAGCACUUUGGGAGGCCGAGGUGAGCGGAUCAUUUGAGGUGAGGAGUUCAAGACCAGCCUGAUCAAUAUGGUGAAACCCCAUCUCUAUUAAAAAUACAAAAAAUUAGCUGGGCGUGGUGGCGUGCGCCUGUUAUCCCAGCUACUCAGGAGGCUGAGGCAGGAAAAUAGAUUGAAACCGGGAGGCGGAGGUUGCAGUGAGCUGAGAUUGCACCACUGCACUCCAGCCUGGGUGACAGAGUGAGACUCCACCUCAAUUUAAAAAAAAAAAAAAAAAAAGGGAUGCCUGGAGGAGGGAGGGGCUACCUGUCACUGAGAAUCCAGGAAAUCUUCUAGAAGUGAAGUUGGAGCUAAACUGUGAAGGAUGAGGCCAUGCACAGUGGCUCAUGCCUCUAAUCGCAGCACUGUGGGAGGCUGAGGCAGGUGGAUCACCUGAGGUCAGGAGUUUGGGACCAGCCUGGCCAGUAUGGCAAAGCCCCAUCUCUACUAAAAAUACAAAAAGUUAGCUGGGCGUGGUGGUGGGCGCCUAUAGUCCCAGCUACCUGGGAGGCUGAGGCAGGAGAAUCACUUCAACCUGGGAAGCAGAGUUUGCAGUGAGCUGAGAUUGUACCAUUGCAUUCUAGCCUAGGCAACAAGAGUGAAACUUCAUCUCAAAAACAAACAAACAAACAAAAACCGUGAAGGCUGAAUAGAAGCUCAUAGGUGAAGAAGGCGGGAAAGAUAUCCCACAAAGAGAACAGCAUGGACAGAGGUCUAAGGACAUGAAAACUUCUGGAAUAUGUGGAAAUAGGAGUUCAGUCUAGAAGGAGGGUUGGAUGUGAGCCGCUGACAGAGGUCAGUGUCAGGAGGAGAUGAGACGAAGUAAUUAAUGACCAACCGGAGGAGGUCGAGGCUGCAGUGAGCUAUGAUCACACCAUUGCAGCCUGGGUGACAGAGUGAAACACUGUCUCUUAAAAAUAAAAUAAAAUAAAAUAAAAUAAAAUAAAAUAAAAUAAAAUAAAAUAACAAAAUAAAACCAAUGGGUUCAUGCCUACAACUGUUUUUAUUUGUUUAUUUUUCUUUCUUUCUUUUUUUUUUGAGACGGAGUCUUGCUCUGUCACCCAGGCUAGAGUGUAGUAGCGCCAUCUUGGCUCACUGCAACCUCUACCUGCCGGGUUCAAGCAAUUGUCUGCCUCAGCCUCCCGAGUAGCUGGGAUUACAGGUGCCCGCAGUUACGCCUGGCUAGUUUUUGUAUUUUUAGUAGAGAUGGGGUUUUACCAUCUUGGCCAGGCUGGUCUUCAACUCAUGAUCUCGUGAUCCACCUGCCUCCGCCUCCCAAAGUGCUGGGAUUACAGGCAUGAGCCACUGCACCGGGCCUUCUCUGUUUCGUCUUAGAAAGAGAGUCUUGCUUUGUCACCCAGACUAGAGUGCAGUCAUGCACCACUAAAGCCUCAAACUCCUGAGCUCAAACAAUCCUCCCACUUUGGCCUCCUGAGUAGCUGGGACCACAGGCAAG
Symphalangus syndactylus (siamang) is the source of this 2258-nucleotide long non-coding RNA. RefSeq lists it as uncharacterized. The record is from RefSeq and is a predicted model, not a curated record. Lineage: Eukaryota; Metazoa; Chordata; Mammalia; Primates; Hylobatidae.